Molecule: unclassified non-coding RNA, 208 nt
Filed under: soil metagenome
Description: partial contains 5.8S ribosomal RNA, internal transcribed spacer 2, and large subunit ribosomal RNA
Source: RNAcentral
AACCAUAGAAACCUGCGGAGUACCUGCGGAGGGAUCAUUACCGAGUAACCUGCAUCGCAGGAACUCCCACCCUUGAUUACAAGCUGUUGCUUCGGCGAGACGCGUUAGCCAUUGAUUCUUGCAAUCGAUGAGUGCUCGCCGAAGUUUUGAACUCUUAAUUUUGCUGUCAGAGGAAAAGCGAAUCAUAAAAACUUUCAACAAUGGAUCU